Molecule: ribosomal RNA, 428 nt
Filed under: Actinomycetes bacterium
Lineage: Bacteria; Bacillati; Actinomycetota; Actinomycetes
Description: Actinobacteria bacterium partial 16S ribosomal RNA
Rfam family: Bacterial small subunit ribosomal RNA
Source: RNAcentral
UAGGGAAUCUUCCGCAAUGGGCGAAAGCCUGACGGAGCAACGCCGCGUGAGUGAUGAAGGUCUUCGGAUCGUAAAACUCUGUUAUUAGGGAAGAACAAAUGUGUAAGUAACUAUGCACGUCUUGACGGUACCUAAUCAGAAAGCCACGGCUAACUACGUGCCAGCAGCCGCGGUAAUACGUAGGUGGCAAGCGUUAUCCGGAAUUAUUGGGCGUAAAGCGCGCGUAGCGGUUUUUUAAGUCUGAUGUGAAAGCCCACGGCUCAACCGUGGAGGGUCAUUGGAAACUGGAAAACUUGAGUGCAGAAGAGGAAAGUGGAAUUCCAUGUGUAGCGGUGAAAUGCGCAGAGAUAUGGAGGAACACCAGUGGCGAAGGCGACUUUCUGGUCUGUAACUGACGCUGAUGUGCGAAAGCGUGGGGAUCAAACAGG